UACCAGCACCCCGAGUGGUCGGGACGUUUAUUGGGCCUAAAGCGUCCGUAGCCGGUUCUACAAGUCUUCCGUUAAAUCCACCUGCUUAACAGAUGGGCUGCGGAAGAUACUAUAGAGCUAGGAGGCGGGAGAGGCAAGCGGUACUCGAUGGGUAGGGGUAAAAUCCGUUGAUCCAUUGAAGACCACCAGUGGCGAAGGCGGCUUGCCAGAACGCGCUCGACGGUGAGGGAUGAAAGCUGGGGGAGCAAACAGG
This 253-nucleotide ribosomal RNA is filed under the name uncultured bacterium. Its description in RNAcentral is "partial 16S ribosomal RNA". It matches the Rfam family "Archaeal small subunit ribosomal RNA", at positions 474 to 727 of the family's 1478-position model. The record is from RNAcentral.